UGAUGCAGAUACUAAUCUGACGCAGCUGCUGAUGUUAAAGCAGGUGUUGAUGCUGAUGCAGCAGGAAUGAGUUUGAUUUGAGAAGCGGAUUCCUUCUCCCCGGGAAAGGCACAAAGUUUUCUUUCCAAGUGCAGGUUGAAACUAACUCCUGGUGAAGAAGCUCACGGCACCAUCCAGCAUGGCACCGUCUGGGAGUCGUUUUUGAUUAGAAGUUGACCUCAGAAAUAUGCUCACAUCAUUUUGAAAGCAUCUUCCAGCACCACAGAAAUCGACUCAGAUGGAGAAAGGACACUGAGUGGACAGGGGCCAGGAUGGGGCGUGGACGCUCUGCCUCUGCCGGGGACAAGGCCUUCCCACAGACUCCCUGGGGUGUUGCCAGCCUGAGUCAGAGGUAGGAGGCCAGCCCUGUCGAGCCCCCAUACACUUAUGUAUUGACCUGGGGCCAGUGCUGUGGAUGGCAAUGACCAUCAUCAUCACCAUCGUCAUCAUCAACACUAGCUACUAUUAUCAAGUGCUUAUUCCAACCCACAUGGUUUCUAAGGGAGUCACAUGAAGUGACCUCACAUCAUUCUCACAGCAUCCUGCCAGGCAGGUACCAUUGGCGUUUGCCAUCUGAGUAUUAUCACCAUCUGAGGUCCCACUCAGGAGCUGGGCAUGUCGAUAUUGAUGUAAUGCCUACCGUGUUCCAGACACGCUGCGAGGCCCUGGGGAUGCAGCCACAAUCCCAACAGAUCUGAUGCCUGCUCUCAUGGAACUGACUUUGCACUGGGGGGAGGCCAACUCCACGAAAACAGAAACUGGAUGACACAUUGGAGGGAGAGCAGUAAAAGGAGCAAGCAGAGAGCAAGAACAACAGUGUUGCCAUGGGGCGGGUGGGCCCGCUGUAGCCAGGGAGGGCCUCUCCGAAGGUAUAACAGGUAAGCUGAGCCCUGGAUGCUGAGAAGGACCAGCCUCAGGAGCAGGGCCCCUCUGCAGCAAUGCCUAGUACAGAGGCUUAGAGAAGACAUGGGCACGUGCACCAGGCAUCCCAUGGGCAGGGCUACCUGAGUUCCAUAUGUGUGUGGAGAGGUCCCGCAGGGCCUGGGUGCGUGACGAGGAUGAAUAAAGUGGGUGGAGGGUAAUGCCACAGUGAGGGGCAGAUGGUGGCCAGUUGACAACACGUGCCCCCAUCAAAGAGGUGGUUGCUACUCAGCUCUGACUCAUGGUCACCAAAAAGGAUGUGGGGCGAGUGUGGCCAGAUCAUCUAGUUCUUCAAAAGAAAGUAGAAAUCUAAACAUUUUUUUUUUGGUAAAGACAUCUGAAUUUCAAGUGCUUUUAUUAAAAGAAGCAAAAAGAGGCCUGGCACGGUGGCUCACGUCUGUAAUCCCAGCACUUUGGGAGGCUGAGGUAGACAGAUCACUUGAGGUUGGGAGUUCGAGACCAGCCUGGCCAACAUGGAGAAACCCCGUCUCUACUGAAAAUACAAAAAAAAUUAGCUGGGCAUGGUGGCAGGUGCCUGCAAUCCCAGCCACUCGGGAGGCUGAGGAGCGAGAAUCACUUGAACCCGGGAGGCAGAGGUUGCAGUGAGCUGAGAUCACGCUACUGCACUCCAGCCUGGGUGACAGAGCAAGAACCUGCCUUAAAAGAAGAAGAAAAAAAAAAAAAAAAACACUGGGUGGAUGAAAAAAAAACAUCCCCAAGCCAGGUCCAGCCUGCAGGUCACCAUUUUGCAGCCUUUGGGUGGAAAGCCGGAUUGGACUGCAGCAGCCUAGUACUCAAGGAGAGGGCACGGCAGGGAGAGGAGACAGCAGCGGAAAGGCCUGAGCUGGGACAGUCGAAGAGCUGUGAGCGGCUUGCUAUGGCUGAAACGUAGUUUGAGUGUGACCACAAAACAUGGCAGACUGUGACCACAUUGCAAGGAUCUCGGAGGCUUGGUAAAAGGGUUCUCUUCCCCGGAGAUGUGGCACAGUGUCCGAUCCCCGUGCCUUUCCUCAUACAGUGCCCUCCCCCCUUUCUCCGCAUGUCUACGUUCUGACUCUAGUGCCACUUUUUCCACAGUCUCCCUGGUCCCCCUCCCACCCACCAUCAAGAUGGGAUCUCUCCCUCCUGGGAGCACCUACUGCACUUUGCUUUCAUUCAUUCAUUUUUUAAAAUUAAUUAAUUAAUUGGUUUAUUUAUUUUGAGAUGGAGUCUCACUCUGUUGCUCAGGCUGGAGUGCAACGUCACGAUCUCGGCUCACUGCAAACUCCGCCUCCCGGGUUCAAGCAAUUCUCCUGCCUCAGCCUCCCAAGUACCUGGGAUUAUAGGCAUGCGUCACCACACCCAGCUCGU
Molecule: long non-coding RNA, 2310 nt
Filed under: Homo sapiens (human)
Lineage: Eukaryota; Metazoa; Chordata; Mammalia; Primates; Hominidae
Description: HSALNT0268781
Source: RNAcentral